Molecule: non-coding RNA, 30 nt
Filed under: Mus musculus (house mouse)
Lineage: Eukaryota; Metazoa; Chordata; Mammalia; Rodentia; Muridae
Source: RNAcentral
UGGGAUCAAAAGUGUGCACCACUACAUUUG